UUAAAAGACAUGGUUUAGUUAGUGUAGUAAUAGUUAAGUUCUAGAAAUAUAAAAAAAUUGGCGGUAUUUUAAACAAAUUAGAGGAACCUGUUUAUUAAAUGAUGCUCCACGAUUAAAUUAACUUGGAUUUUAAACUUAUAUAUCAUUGUUUAAAAUAUAUCUUAGGAUAAUAUUUUUAAUUAAUAAUAAUUAAAAAUUUCAGAUCAAGGUGUAGUAAUGUCUAAGAAUAAAAUGGGUUAUAAUAAAUUUAUUUAAGGAUUUUAAAUUGUAAAUUUAAAAGAAAGAAGAUUUAAUAGUAAUUAAAUAAAUAUUUAUUUAAUGAAAUUAGCUCUGAGAUAUGC
Molecule: ribosomal RNA, 341 nt
Filed under: Dacrysoma usambarensis
Lineage: Eukaryota; Metazoa; Arthropoda; Insecta; Coleoptera; Ptiliidae
Description: partial 12S ribosomal RNA
Source: RNAcentral